RNAcentral lists this long non-coding RNA (6605 nucleotides) under Nicotiana benthamiana. Its description in RNAcentral is "long non-coding RNA (NBEN_LNC027584)". Lineage: Eukaryota; Viridiplantae; Streptophyta; Magnoliopsida; Solanales; Solanaceae. The record is from RNAcentral.
UUAAUCCCCACACCCCCAAAUAUAGACCUAAUAUCUCCCAAAAACCGUAAGCCCCAAAUUCCCACAGCCGCCACCCCAGCUGCCCGCGUCUCCCAUCCUCCAAACUCGCCGGAACUCCUCCCAGUCUCAUCAUUCCAAUCCGAUUUUCACGGAUUUAUUCUUUUAUGUCUUAUGUUUAAGCAUAAAAUCUGAGUCCUUGAAAUAAAGGUUGGAAAAUGGGAGCCAUUGGAUAAAUUUUUGAUCCAAGACUUUCAUUUUUUUAUUUUUGUUAAAAUAAGGAUUUUCGGAUUUGUUUGGGGGUCCACACGGAUUUCUGAGGAUUGUCGAUUUUCUUGGAGAGGAAGCAAGAAGAAGCUUCUAGGAUUCUUAUAUAUUUGGGGUUUUCGGACAGAAUUGGGGGAGAGAGAAAAAAGGAGGAGAAAAAUUGGGAUAGAAAAGAGAUUAGGGUUCGAACAAAGGUUGCUACUUUUCUUCUCAUUUUUGGUCGAUUUUUAGAUGAGUCCGAAUUCCAGAAAAACAAAACAAAAAAAUACAAAGUAGUUCGAGUUUCAUUUUUGUUCAGUCCUUAUUUCAUUUCGACAAAAAUCAGAAAAUUUCCAAAACAAUAGUUCUGUUUCUUCUUCCAGAUUUGUUGUUUUGACAUGGAGGUUGAUUGAGCCGAAGUCGAGUUCGCCGUCCGAGUUCUUAGUUGCUGGUUCGAUUCCUGCUGCUGCUGUGUUGCUUGUUCAUUUCAAAACUUCAUUGGAAAGUCAGCUUGUAAUCGCAUACAUUCAAAUUCAAUCAAAAGCUUUCAACAUUCAGGUUCAUCUCCUUACUCUUUUGGGUCCUGUUUGGUGUCCGAUCGAAUUCACAUGUUAGUAGAGUCGAAUUUUUGCUGGUUUUGAAUAUUGAUAGAUUGCGGAUGAAUUCUCUUUGAUAUGGAUAUGUUCUGUUUGUCUUUGUGUUAGAAGUAUGUUUUAACUUCGAAUCUGUCUGCCUCCUAUUACUGAAGCAUUGAUUACGUGGUUUCAAGGAAUCGAAAUAGCUUAGCUAAUUCCUUGUAUAGUUCCCUGAAUCGAAUAACUUGUUUGGUGGAGUUUUGAAAUUUGUGAGUUCGUUGAAUGUUCUGCAGCCUUCAUCUCGAUUUGUCUGGUCUGGCUUGUCGUCGCAUUGCGCAAUUGUUCAUAGUUCCAUUGCUGUUGCUGAUACUCAGUAAUUGGUAUUUUUAUGGGUGAUUAUCAAUAGCCUUUGUUCGUAUAUAUAGGAUCACACAGGACGUUAGUUUGAUAACCUGCAGGGAGUUCUUGUAUUUCAUUUAGGAUUCAAGUAUGAGUUUAGCAUUUUAGUUUGCGCAUCAUAUUCAAGCAAAUCUGCCCCUGUCCAGAAUACAUGACCAUUUGUGCUUUGUUUCUUCAACUAGAGAUGGAUUAGUCAAUUGGUUAAGGCUUAAAUGACUAGUUCAGUGUUAUAGGGAGUUAUUUCAGAUCUGAAUGCCUAGCUUCAACAUGUUCGAUUUGAAUUGGUUAAUCAUCAGCUUAUUAAGCAAAAUAUGAACAGGUGACUGAUAGAUGCAUAUUUGUUGGUCUGAGGUCACUGAACUCCUCCAUGACUUUCUUUGUUUGAUGAUUGCCCAGUUAAGUCUAUUAAGGUUCUAAAAUAAAUCUUCAACUUGUAGCUUCGAAAUGCCCCGAAGGAUUUGUACAUAUUUUUAUCUGGGGUAUGCCCUGUAGUAUUUGUAUUCAGAUACCGAAAAAUAGAAAAUUGUAGUAUUUUUAUUUUAUUUUCAUUUUUCCUUUUUCUUUCAUUAGGUGGAGACGACCUCGAGUCUCUCGUUUGAUUAUUUUUCAUUUUCUGUGUUUUCUAUCUCAAUUGAAUAUUUUAAAAGGCAACUUGAUCGAGUAUGCAACCGUGGCCUUUACGGGACUUGGGGAGUGCGUAACACCUUCUCCCCGAGUCAAAUGAACCUUCUUACCCUAAUCUCUGGUGCAGAUAUAGUUUUAGAGUCCAAAAGUGUUUUAAAGGAAAAUAAUUUUAAAAAACGGUGACCUUGCACACCGAGAUCAAAUGUCAGGUGGCGACUCUGAGUUUAAUUCCUUUUGAAAUACAAUUUUUGUCACUUUCAAUUUGAAAACCCUUCUCAAGCUUUAUUUAAAUCUUUUUAUUUAUUUAAGAGGAUUGAGUGGAGUUUUGUUAAAAAAAGGGGUGUGACAAUACACACCAACAAAAACUUAGUCUAAUUUUAUGAGUGAAAUCUGGUCUUUCGAGGACUUCUUAGGGUUACUUAUUGUGAUGAUCCAAUUGGUCAUUUUUAAUUUUAAUCCUUAUUUAUGUGUUUCGAAACCUCGAAUAGUUUCGUUUAGCCUUCCUCGAUCUGUGUGAGAAGUCUGUGUCUUUUUUCGAAAAAUUUUAUGUGAAAAAUCUAUGAAAAAGUGUAAUUUAGUCUUAAAAUUCAUUUGAGUUGACUACGAUCAAAGUUUUUGUAAUGGAUCCGGAUUAGUAUUUUGAUGGUCCCGAUGGGUUCGUGUCUUGGGACUUGGGCGUAUGGCAGAAAUUGAAAUCAGAAGUCUUUAACUUGAUUUAACAUGAUUUGUCGAAAUCUAGUAAUUUGAAGGUUUAAUGAAUUUCUAAGUUUGACCAUAGGUUGACUUUGUUUCUAUCGGAUACAGAUUUCAGUUCUGAAACUUGGUAUCGGUUUAUUUCAGUAUUUAUUACUUUUUUUGUAAAUUUUGGUGCAAAACAGAGUUGAUUUGAUGUGAUUUGGACGUCCGGUUGUUGAAUUGAAAGUUCUUUUGAAAAUUUUGAGGUCUCAAGCCCGAGAAAUGAAUUUUUAAGUAAAAUUGUUUUAUGAAAAUGUUUAUGGAAUUUGAAAUAAAAUAUGAUUAGAAAGCGAUGGUAUCGGUCCUGUAAUUUGGUUCUGGUACCCGGUAUAGGUCUUAUAUAUGGUUUAAGUCAUUUUUGUAAAAUUUGGUGAAAAACAAAUGCCGUUUGACGUGAUUCAAACCUAAAUUGCUAAAAUUGAUACUUGAUGAAGUUUGAGAAAAGUUCUUGAUUUUGAAGUUUGAGUCAUUGUUUUUAGGUUAUUUUAGCGAUCUAAUCGCACAAAUAUGUUCGUAUGAUGUUUUUUAGUUAGUAUGUAUGUUUGGUUAGGAGCCCUGAGUCCUCGGGUGUGUUUCGGAUAAAUUUCAGGAAGUUUUGAGUUUAAGAAAAGUUGCAGAUUUUCUGCAGUCAGUGCCCAGGGAUUUUACCCUUAGCGUUCGCGUGGUCCCUUUCGCGAACGCGUAAGGAAAAUAUUCCAGUCCCUAAAUUCUUCUUCGCGAAUGCGAAGGUUGUGUCACAAAUGUGAAGGUGAGAGGGGAGACCCUUCGCGAACGUGUCCCUCCAAUCGCUAAUGUGUAAGGUUGAGGGGAGGGGUCACUAGCUUGUGCAUUACGAACGCAACCCUUGGUCCACUAACGUUUAGGCUUGAGGAGCUAAAGCUCCGCGAACGCGAGCCACAAUCUGCGAACGCGAAGGUCUUGAAGGCCUAACCCAUCGCGAUUGCGAAGGGUGUGUCGCGAUCACGAAGAACACUUUUUCCCAAUUAUUCUUAAGUCUCGAAAGAGACCCAUUUUAGAAUUUUACCAAAAUUUCACAAACUCUUUCUUCUCCAAAGUUUUUAGGUGAUUUUUGAAGCAUUCUUUCACCACAAUCUCUUGGGGUAUGUAAUCUUUAACUUGUUUUCUUCUAUUUUCAUCAAUAUCUAUUAGAUUUCUAGGCCUAAAAUAUGUGAUUAAGGGUAGAAAUUAGGAAUUUGGGUAGAAUUAGGGCUUUUUGAUUAAUUGUGAUUUAUACCUCAUUUUGGGGCCGAAUUUGAAAAUAAAUUAUAUAUUCGGACUCGUGGAUGAAUGGGUUAUUUGAUUUUGGUCUGAACCUCGUGUUUUGACCAAGCGGGCCUGCGGUCGAUUUUUUUAUAUUUGGGAAGAAUGAUUAGGAAUUUAUAAUUAAGCAUUGGAAUUGCAUUGUUUAUCAUUUACUGAUGUUAUUAAGUCAAUUAUGUAUAGAUUCGAUUGGGUUGGAAUCGAAUUUUAAAGAAAAAGUGGUGUUUGAGGCUUGAGUUGGCCGUGGAAGUUCGAGGUAAGUGUUUGGUCUAACCUUAGCUUGAGGGAUUAGGAGCCAAGUCCUAUUUGCUACGUGAUUAUUGUUGAUUAUUAUGUACAUGCAUGGUGACUAGUAUCUAUACAUUGGUUUCUAGCAUGACCGUGAGCCUUAUAUUGUGAUUUUCAUAAUUUCGUUGAAUCACCUGUGCUUUGAAAGUGAUUUCUAUUUGUGGUGAAAAGUUGAGGAAGUAAUUGUGACUGUUAUACAUCGAGGAGCAUUGGCUCAAGUUAAAUUACAAAUUGUGAAAGUAUAUGAGACGAUUGAACCCUUUGGAUCAUUGACUCAAGUGGUAAAGUGAGUUAUGAAGUAAAAAUGAAAGAAAGAGAAAGAGUUACUAAAUUGUUCCCUUGCCAGGAUGUUUGCUGAUUAGUUGAUUAUCUCCCUUGUCAGGAUGCUGAGUUAUUGGUGUUGUUCCCUUGCUCGGAGUUAAUUGUUUAAUUUUGUUCCCUUACCGGGAUUUCUAUUAUUAUUUGUUUACUCCCUUACCCCUUUGUUUGUAAUUGUUGUUUGGGUGAGGAAGAGUGUUAAUUCACGAAAGGUGAUAACAUACAUUGUUUGCUAUUGUGAGGAAUAAGUGUUAAAGCACGAAGGGUGAUGUCGUGCAUUGUUUGCUAUUGUGAAAAGAGUGUAAAGCAUGAAGGGUGAUGCAGUGUCAUACGAUGUACCAUUUCGUACCGAUUUUCAUUGAUUAUAUGGUGAGGAAAGAGAGUAAAAGCAUAAAAGAUGAUGUCGUGCACAUUGUUGUGAUAUGAUUAAUUUGGUGAGUACAAGAGUAAAAGCACGAAGGGUGAUGCCGUGCACACUUUUUUUAUAAAAUUUCUUUGGUAAGGACGAGAGUAAAAGCACGAAGGGUGAUGCCAUGAAAAAAUCGUUGAUUUCUGAUUCUUGUUGGUAUCAUAGUUAUGUUGUUUCUUUCCUUACUGAUGCUUUCUAUUCGGAACACAACAUGCUUCCCCCUCCCACAUUAACUGGUUAUUUUAUUUAUUUUAUUUUUCAGAAGGAUGUUUCACAAAGGUGNNNNNNNNNNNNNNNNNNNNNNNNNNUAUAUAUAUAUAUAUAUAUAUAUGUAUGUAUGUAUAUAUAUAACUUCACAGGUUUAUUUGGUAGUGUUAUCCUAGCCUCGUCACUACUUUGCCGAGGUUAGGCGAGACGCUUGCCAGCACAUGGGGUCGGUUGUGCAGAUACUACACUGUACAAUGUGUGCAGAUGCAGGAGCAUCUUUCGGACAGUAGUUGGAGGGCUUCCUUAAGUCCAUCCGGAGACCCAAGGUAGACCUGCAGGCUUCCACAGGACCUUGCGUACCCCUCUAUCCCUUUUCUCUGUUUCAUUUUCUUUUGUUCUGAAACAGUAUAUUGUAUUUUCUUAAGACCUAGGUUGUAGUAACUCUUAGACUAUCUGUGAUACUGUGACAUCAGAUUUUGGGGUAUUGCGAUUUUAAAAGUUGCAAUAAACGUAGCCUUAAGUUAUAUAAUUAUUGACUUCCGCUUUAUUUCUUAAACUUGUGCUUUUAUUAUGUUGUCACCUUGUGCUUGUUAAAAGAAGCAAUAUGAAAGUGUAGCGGAUAGUUAAGAUUUGGCUUGCCUAGCUCCCAUUAAUUAGACGUCAUCGCGAUUCCCGAGGGUAGAAAAUCCAUGUCAUGACAGAAGCGAGGAUCACUUCGCCAGAUCGGGACCGGAGCAGAAAACUUCAGCUUCUUCCAUCCGAAUUAGGAGAAGCCCAAUUCUCCCCAACAAACCUAUAGUGGCUAUAAAUAUAUCAAAAAAAUGCGCUUUAGCCAUGAUACACUACUUUGAAAGGAGAGAAGACUUUGGGAACAUUAUUUGGAUGCAAGAACAUUACGUGGAACAACUUUUUGAGGAGAAAAUCAUAGAGUUCUUCAUUUUUUCCUCUUUUCUUUGUAACUUGUUUAUGCAAAAUACUUGCAAAAGUGUUACUACGAACAUAAGCAGUUAAGCACUCGAGUUUCUAGGGUUGUGAUUGACAUGAUUAUUAACGUUUAUUAAUUACAUCUUCGUUAAUUCAGAUUAUCAUCUUGUGAUUGUUUCCUUAAUUCUAGUUUUAACUUGUGAAUUGUUGUAGCUGCCAAUUCAUCCUGGUAUCUAUGCUAUGCUUAGGAAAGUCGCGUUUAGAUUAGAGUAGAAUUAGAGAGAGUUUGUUUAUGAACUCGUGGCUCGGGAAAAGAUUUCGUUGUUAGGAUAGAAAUAUACCUAACAAUCUUGCUUAGCUGAAUACCGUAUUAUAAUCGUUCAUGAUAGACUCAGUACCAUAGAAAUGAUUGAUAUAUUGUAGUUAGGCGAAUAGUAUUGAGGAAACAUGCUAUUUAUAUAAAUGAUCUGGUCAAUUAGCAAUCAUUGAUAAUAUGGAUUAACUAGUGUGGUUACUGAACUUAAUAGGAUUGAUAAACCGACCACAAUCUUGGAAUCUUCUAUCUUCUUUUAGUAAAAUCUAAAAACACACGUUUGCAUCCUUGAUAAAUUAGUUAAUUACUU